This 1149-nucleotide ribosomal RNA is filed under the name Shewanella algae. Its description in RNAcentral is "bacterial SSU rRNA". It matches the Rfam family "Bacterial small subunit ribosomal RNA", at positions 35 to 1170 of the family's 1533-position model. The record is from RNAcentral. Lineage: Bacteria; Pseudomonadati; Pseudomonadota; Gammaproteobacteria; Alteromonadales; Shewanellaceae.
GCCAGUGCGGCAGCUACACAUGCAGUCGAGCGGUAACAUUUCAAAAGCUUGCUUUUGAAGAUGACGAGCGGCGGACGGGUGAGUAAUGCCUGGGAAUUUGCCCAUUUGUGGGGGAUAACAGUUGGAAACGACUGCUAAUACCGCAUACGCCCUACGGGGGAAAGCAGGGGACCUUCGGGCCUUGCGCUGAUGGAUAAGCCCAGGUGGGAUUAGCUAGUAGGUGAGGUAAAGGCUCACCUAGGCGACGAUCCCUAGCUGGUCUGAGAGGAUGAUCAGCCACACUGGGACUGAGACACGGCCCAGACUCCUACGGGAGGCAGCAGUGGGGAAUAUUGCACAAUGGGGGAAACCCUGAUGCAGCCAUGCCGCGUGUGUGAAGAAGGCCUUCGGGUUGUAAAGCACUUUCAGCGAGGAGGAAAGGGUGUAAGUUAAUACCUUACAUCUGUGACGUUACUCGCAGAAGAAGCACCGGCUAACUCCGUGCCAGCAGCCGCGGUAAUACGGAGGGUGCGAGCGUUAAUCGGAAUUACUGGGCGUAAAGCGUGCGCAGGCGGUUUGUUAAGCGAGAUGUGAAAGCCCCGGGCUCAACCUGGGAACCGCAUUUCGAACUGGCAAACUAGAGUCUUGUAGAGGGGGGUAGAAUUCCAGGUGUAGCGGUGAAAUGCGUAGAGAUCUGGAGGAAUACCGGUGGCGAAGGCGGCCCCCUGGACAAAGACUGACGCUCAGGCACGAAAGCGUGGGGAGCAAACAGGAUUAGAUACCCUGGUAGUCCACGCCGUAAACGAUGUCUACUCGGAGUUUGGUGUCUUGAACACUGGGCUCUCAAGCUAACGCAUUAAGUAGACCGCCUGGGGAGUACGGCCGCAAGGUUAAAACUCAAAUGAAUUGACGGGGGCCCGCACAAGCGGUGGAGCAUGUGGUUUAAUUCGAUGCAACGCGAAGAACCUUACCUACUCUUGACAUCCACAGAACUUUGUCAGAGAUGACAUUCGGUGCCUUCGGGAACUGUGAGACAGGUGCUGCAUGGCUGUCGUCAGCUCGUGUUGUGAAAUGUUGGGUUAAGUCCGCAACGAGCGCAACCCCUAUCCUUACUUGCCAGCGGGUAAUGCCGGGAACUUUAGGGAGACUGCCCGGUGAUAAACCGGAGGA